GUCUAUAUAUUAUGUAUAUAACGUUUUUUCAGUCAAGGGUCUUUUUCAUCGCAAGACUUGUGUCUCACAACUAGUAUGUAUAGAGUGGCAUUGGAACAGAAAAAUGGGAUUGAAACAUCUCUAUUAUUAUCAUGCUAGCCCUUAGAGUCUAGGCCCAUGACAGACCUAUUCUUAUAGACCACCAUCAUCAUAAUAGAGUAUUCAUUAAUGAUCCUUCCGCAGGUUCACCUACGGAAA
RNAcentral lists this unclassified non-coding RNA (237 nucleotides) under uncultured fungus. Its description in RNAcentral is "sequence contains ITS1". Lineage: Eukaryota; Fungi. The record is from RNAcentral.